UGGGGAAUAUUGGACAAUGGGCGAAAGCCUGAUCCAGCCAUGCCGCGUGUGUGAAGAAGGCCUUUUGGUUGUAAAGCACUUUAAGUGGGGAGGAAAAGCUUAUGGUUAAUACCCAUAAGCCCUGACGUUACCCACAGAAUAAGCACCGGCUAACUCUGUGCCAGCAGCCGCGGUAAUACAGAGGGUGCAAGCGUUAAUCGGAAUUACUGGGCGUAAAGCGCGCGUAGGUGGUUAUUUAAGUCAGAUGUGAAAGCCCCGGGCUUAACCUGGGAACUGCAUCUGAUACUGGAUAACUAGAGUAGGUGAGAGGGGAGUAGAAUUCCAGGUGUAGCGGUGAAAUGCGUAGAGAUCUGGAGGAAUACCGAUGGCGAAGGCAGCUCCCUGGCAUCAUACUGACACUGAGGUGCGAAAGCGUGGGUAGCAACAGGAUUAGAUACCCUGGUAGUCCACGCCGUAACGAUGUCUACCAGUCGUUGGGUCUUUUAAAGACUUAGUGACGCAGUUAACGCAAUAAGUAGACCGCCUGGGGAGUACGGCCGCAGUA
RNAcentral lists this ribosomal RNA (544 nucleotides) under uncultured bacterium. RNAcentral's name for it is "bacterial SSU rRNA". It matches the Rfam family "Bacterial small subunit ribosomal RNA", at positions 355 to 893 of the family's 1533-position model. The record is from RNAcentral.